This 339-nucleotide ribosomal RNA is filed under the name Triticum aestivum (bread wheat). RNAcentral's name for it is "partial small subunit ribosomal RNA". Lineage: Eukaryota; Viridiplantae; Streptophyta; Magnoliopsida; Poales; Poaceae. The record is from RNAcentral.
AUGGAAGCGGAGAGGGCUUCUGAGAUCAUUCAUAAUCUUGCCUCUAUCCAACCUAUGAAUGACAAUGACAUGAAUAAUUUAGGAAUUAAUGAUCUUGCAAAUAUCUGUAAUAAUCUCUUGCCUAGUGUCAAGGCUGAAGAUGAGGAGGAUGUUGAGAACACAGAUACGGUAGAGCCCCUCUUGAUGGAGGAGGCAGUGUCUGUCAUAGAUAAUUCUAUCGUACCGCAGGGUGUUGAGGAGAAGCCCAAACGACCCUGGAAGCGGAAAAUCUAUCCUACUUCGGCAGUACGCAGAAGUGCUAGAGUGAAACUUAAGAAAAAAUUCCAUGAUGACUUAUGA